RNAcentral lists this transfer RNA (90 nucleotides) under Ignavibacteriota bacterium. Its description in RNAcentral is "Ignavibacteriae bacterium tRNA-Ser". It matches the Rfam family "tRNA". From Rfam's summary of the family: Transfer RNA (tRNA) molecules are approximately 80 nucleotides in length. Their secondary structure includes four short double-helical elements and three loops (D, anti-codon, and T loops). The record is from RNAcentral. Lineage: Bacteria; Pseudomonadati; Ignavibacteriota.
GGAGAGGUGCGAGAGUGGUUGAAUCGACCGGUCUCGAAAACCGGAAUAGCCGCAAGGCUAUCGAGGGUUCGAAUCCCUCCCUCUCCGCAA